Long non-coding RNA from Gallus gallus (chicken), 2536 nucleotides. Lineage: Eukaryota; Metazoa; Chordata; Aves; Galliformes; Phasianidae. The record is from Ensembl.
UGCUGUUUGACUGCUUAAAUGGGGCCGUGUGAAACGCCCACGGGAUCCUGGGCGAGGUGGCCCUUCCGGCUGCUGCUGCACCCAAACGCUGCGCUUCACGGGGAGCUUCGGAGCGAGUCCGCUCGGGGGGAACAGCGUUGCCUGCCGCAGCUGUGCCGGCACAGCCAGGCUUUGGCUGUUCUGUAGGCGCCCAGCCCCGCGUUGAAUCCUUUCCAGCCAUUUGCGUGAGUGUGGGGAACUCGGAGAGCUCCGUCCUCAUCUCCGUGGGAGACAGCAGAGCCUGUGAGGCAGGCGGCGGGGCUGUGCAGAGGAAGAAGCCCUGCAACCCGAGCGAGAGGCUUUUAAUUAACCCGAAAAGAUGAGAUCAACGCGAGUAUUACAACAGGUGGUUAAAUCCUGCGGCAAAGUAGCCCUCGCUUUGUUCUCCGUGCUGAUGCACAGGCAGAAACCUCCCGUGGGGCGAAGGAGGAGCCCGGGUGCGCGGCGUGGAAAGCAGACCGGGCGUGUGUGGGGCCGCCCGGCACCUGCGGCUCGCGGGCAGCAGCGCGGGCACGCAGACGGCCGCUUUACACUGCAGGCCCUUCACCACGUCUCAAGUUUGCAUUCCCACAGCACGGGACAGCCGGUCGCAUUGCUGCUUGCUGCGGCUGGCCGAGCAGCUGAGGCACUUCUGGGCACCUGAGAGACGCUUUGCUCACCGGGUCCUCCUUUGAAUUCGGGCACAGCCAUCCAGCUCUUCACGCGAAGGUCCCUAUUUCUUAAACGGCUGUGAAAUCCGCUCCGUGCAGGCUGCUGAAAGCCGUUCAGGGCAGCGCAGGAAGGCUCGUGCUCUCCAGCACCGCCUGCCCCUCUCCCCUUCCCCCCCCGGCAGGACCCCUCGCCCGACCCGGGGCUGCCGCCUGGGGGAGGACAGAUGGUCCCAGGGAGCGCGUAGGACUGCGAAGCGGGCGCUCUACAUCCCUUCCCGGCUCCAGCAGGAGCGUGCGACGCGGCACCACCUACGCCUUCGCCCACAGCCCCCCCUCCUCCUUCCCUCUCACUUUCUGCCUUCUCCAGGUCAUCUGCUGCUGCCUGCACAGGAUAAGGUGCCCCUGCAAAGCAAAACCAGCGGCAGCUCCUCGAGCCUGACCUCUCCCCAGCACCUCCCUGGGCUCCGGUGAUGGGAAGGACACGUGCUGGUCUGCAGCAGCAGCGGGGCUGUGAGCUCUGUGACAGGAAGAUCCAGGUUUGGCUUUUCUCAGGCAAUGAGGUGGUUUUAAUCUAACGCGAAUGAGAUUGGAUGCAGUAAAGACAGGAGCAAAGUUCUUUCUCCCAUCCCUUCUCCUGGCAAGGAGAAGCUGUGCGUCACAUCCAUGUAGAGUGGGAAUAACAGGUUGAUCACUGUCUCAGCUGGAGCUUCUGUCCUUCUGGCACUGUGGCACCCAACCCUCACGCAGUGCUGGAGGUGAGGAUGCACAGCACAGAACACAGUGGACGAUCCCUCUCCUUGCCCAGUGGCAGCACUGGGCCUGGUGUCCCCCUGGGUACAGUUGGCCCUUUGGGUUCCAGGCACACUGCUGGCUCAGACUGAACGUGCAGCCUUGCUGCAGGGAAGCUUCUCAUUACCCGGUCUGUCCAUACAGCCAGGGCUGCCCCUUGACAGGUGCAGCAUCCAAUGCUUGCUCUCGUUACACUUCAUGCAGCUGGUGGUGGCCCUGCCCUUUGAUUUGUUAUGAACUCCCUGAGAGGCCUUCCUGCCCUCCUGGGAACCAUAAGCUCCUCCCAUUGGAGUGUUGUCAGCAAACUUAAUGUGUGCUCACAUCCCAUCUCUGAGCCAUCAAUGAAAACCUUGCAGAGAGCUGGCCCUAUUGUGGAACCCACCUGGCAGCUGCUACCAGCCUGCUCUGAUUCCAUUUGCUACGGCUGCCGUGACCACCACACAAGUAGCUGUGGUGCCACCUCUGCUGGGGUACCUCUGUCUCACUGGGGGGUCUCACCGUGCAUCUGCACAGGAUAGAGCAGGAUGCGUGCCCGUGGCUGUCCGAAGGGCUGAUUGCCCCAUCCCGCGCUGGGUCCAGCACCUUCAGAGUGGCAGAGGAUGGAGCCCCGCCUCCCCUCUCCCUUCAGUACAAAACUAAGGACAACCAGCUCACCUCCGUCGGUGCCAAAAGGUCUGGGUGACCCAGGGGAGACCUGGGGGUGAGAGGAAGACGGGGAGCAUCUGCCGCCGAGCCCCUUGGAGAGCUGAGCAUGGCAGAGCUGAGGAAAGGGAGCUGGGUGAGGACCUUGUGUUACUGAGUAGUCCUACAAGACGGGAGAAUGGAAGUUUUGCCAUUGCCAUUCACAUGGCACCUGUGGAUGCACUGCGCUGUGGGCCUUGCAGCUGCUGACACAUCCCAGCAUGACAUGAAAGUGUCCCGGGUUGGUGGUGUAAGGAAAGGAUCUGACAGCUUCGCAGGGCAUCACCAGGAGAUGCUUUGAUGUAGGCACAGAGGGGAGAUGUCUCGAAUGGUACCAGAUAACAGCUGCUCUCAGUGACUGUAAUGGGAAAUAAAAG